This 253-nucleotide ribosomal RNA is filed under the name uncultured bacterium. Its description in RNAcentral is "partial 16S ribosomal RNA". It matches the Rfam family "Bacterial small subunit ribosomal RNA", at positions 524 to 776 of the family's 1533-position model. The record is from RNAcentral.
UACGGAGGGUGCAAACGUUGCUCGGAAUUAUUGGGCGUAAAGCGCACGUAGGCGGUUUGUUAAGUCGGGUGUGAAAGCCCCGGGCUCAACCCGGGAAGUGCAUUCGAAACUGGCAAGCUUGAAUAUGGAAGAGGGUCGCGGAAUUCCCGGUGUAGAGGUGAAAUUCGUAGAUAUCGGGAGGAACACCAGUGGCGAAGGCGGCGACCUGGGCCAAUAUUGACGCUGAGGUGCGAAAGCGUGGGGAGCAAACAGG